RNAcentral lists this long non-coding RNA (927 nucleotides) under Olea europaea subsp. europaea. Lineage: Eukaryota; Viridiplantae; Streptophyta; Magnoliopsida; Lamiales; Oleaceae. The record is from RNAcentral.
GUAGAAGCCAUCCAAAGAGAAUACCAAUACCUCGUAAAUCAUAUCCAAGUCUCUCUCUCUCUCUCUCUCUCUCUCACUAUAGAGAGUCGCACAUAAUUAAAGGAAAUCUCCAUCGUUAUCCUGUCUGGUAGUGUCUGAUGGACUGAUGUACCAAAUAUGCCCAAAGUGAAUGUUUGGUACAUUAUAUAUGACAAAACACAAUUUGAGUUUGUAGGGAAUAUUGAUAAAAGAAGUUUCUUAGCAGAUUUUGAUUAAAAAAAAUGAAAUAUGUGGUCGAAAAUUCGACAAAGUGGAGAGUCUCACGAAAUGAGUGUUUAAAAUUAAUUGUUGACAUUGACCUCAACUUUUUCAAAAAAAAUUUACCUUUUUUUUUUUUUUUUCAAAUAAGCACUAAAACAGAAGUCGAAAUCUUGUUUGUAUUAUUUAACCGUGUCAUCUGUAAGUACAUAUGUGGGUCUUUGUUAAUCGUGUGUCAGGAUUUUGAUUAUACGCAAUUUGCUUGAAUUGAACAGGAAGUGAAAGUAGAGAAGAAUGGGACAAAAUAUGUAGUGAGGGUGACAUGCAAGAAGGGAGAAGAUUUGUUGGUGUCAAUUAUCGAAGCGUUCGAAGAAAUGAAUCUUAAUGUCCUCGAAGCCAAAGUCACCAGCAAACACUUCUUUGGGAUGGAAGCCAUUGCUGAAGCUAAAGGCCAAGACAUUGAUUCAAGAAUCUUGACUGAAACCAUUCUCAAUGUCAUUCAAAGGCCAACUGGAAAUGGGGCUAUCAAUUAAUAGUAAUAGUAUACAGUCAGAUGGUUAUUGUUUUAUGAUUUUGGAAAUGUCACUUGUUUUUUGGAGUGAAGUUGUGAUAAAGUGACACCCAAGCACACCCCGUGAGGCUACUUUCCCUAGAAAAGUGAAAAACCACCCAAAAAAGUUUGUAUUUGUG